This is a non-coding RNA of Malus domestica (apple), 1259 nucleotides long. The record is from RefSeq and is a predicted model, not a curated record. Lineage: Eukaryota; Viridiplantae; Streptophyta; Magnoliopsida; Rosales; Rosaceae.
GAUAUGAAUAUGUCGUAUAGGUCACUAGAGGUGACUCCGACUUAUAUGCUAGUCAUGAUUGAUGAGAUAUGAACAUGUCGUUUAGGUCAAUAGAGGUGACUUCGACUUACAUGCUAGUAUAUGUAAUGAAUACGUGACGAGCUAGCCUAGGUGAUGAAAUAUGGGAGGAACUAUUAUAUAUAAUGAGUUAUGGAUAAGUCGUACAGGUCACCCUAGGUGACUUCUACCUGCGUAUUAUUAUGAGUUAUUAAUCACAUGAUUAUUUGAUAUUAUGGAUGAGAUGCUGUGUUGUGUUACAUUAUCAUUUCUCUGGAAAUUAUACAGGUGUUGUAGUGAGGGAUUACAUGUUUUAUAUGUUUUUCUAUUAGUAUGUUACUUACUGGGCCACUCACCCUUGUCCUGUCUUCACCCUUCAGGUAUUAUUAGCUGAGUUUUAUUUUCACCAAAGACUCGCGGCGAUUCUUAUUAUCGGAGACUAUUUCGAGGAUGUCACACCUCAUUAAAACCCGGAGGGCGAUGACUUCUACACUUAGUCCAACGACUACACCUACUACUGCCGCUAUUGCUCCGGCAGAGAUGGACCAUAGGCCGGUUAAUUCGGUUGACCCAGUUGGUCCUUCAGUCCCAUAUGCACAUGCAUCAUCAACUUCUUCGGUGGUGUUAGCUGUUAACGCCCGACGUACUCACCGGCGCCCCCGUACUACGGACCAGAUGUCACCAUCGGGAUCCACAACCGAUGCCUCAGGUACACGGCCAGCGAAGAAAAACACCCGGGGACCUUGUCGACAAUUGAAGACAGCAAAGGUCACCCGGGUGACCAACAGUCAUAUCUCAAUCGAAUACAAUGAGCGACAUCGGGUAGCACCAACUGCGGAGCAGCAUAGUGCAUUGGCCCACAACAUUGGGCAUGUCGUGCGAACCUUUUGCCCUAUGCGGUGGAAGUCUUGGAAGGCGAUGCUAGAGGAGAUGAAGAACACGGUGCGCAACCAAUUGUCCAUAAACAAACUACGAUUUGGAGGACAUGGACAAGGACAUGUUCGCAUACCUCAAUCGGCUUUUCUCCGAAUGCUACAAGCAGUCGAAGAGCGACCUGCACCAAUGUUUCCAGCAAUUUGAUGAUCCGCAGGUCGCUCUCGAGGAGGGUUGUCUGAAAGAGUUGGAGAAUCAACAAGAUAGUUGGGUUUGGCUUUGCAGUCAUUUUCAAUAGCCGGGCUAUGUGAAGAAGGCGAAGGCGUGUUGUGUGACCGUCGUAGGCCACU